Long non-coding RNA from Astatotilapia calliptera (eastern happy), 732 nucleotides. NCBI's taxonomy places the organism in Eukaryota, Metazoa, Chordata, Actinopteri, Cichliformes, Cichlidae. The record is from Ensembl.
UUUUGAGGUCUGAAUUGACAUAAAUAAAACAUGCAUGAUUUGAUGUUACACGGUGAUGUAUUUGUUGGGAUUUCUCUAAAUAACUCUUUUUUUUUUUUUUUUUUAAAUUCGUGUUUCAGGUGAAUUAUGAGGUAUUUGUGUGGCAGAGGGAGAAAAGGUGUGAAUCUCUGAUUCACCGACAAGAGUUUUUACCUGAAGCAUGUCCUUAUCAGCAUCAGCAGCAGGAGGCGGCGGUUCCUUCUCCACCUCCUUUUUUCUCAUGACUCAUGUCUUCCUCUUUUGUCUUCUUAGAAACACUUUUAUGCCCUUUGUUGGAGUGCUUUAACCACCACCAUGAUGUUAAGUUAUAGAUGGAUGCUGCGCUGUGAUUGGCGUUUAAGAUUAAGAUAUAUUGAUCAGACACAGAAAGAGGUGUUUCAGAUGUGACUUUGCCUGUAAGAAACAGAUAUCCGAAAAAUCCUGUCCUGAAAAUAAAACAUUUAGUUUACGAAUGAUUGAAAAAAAGUUUAACAACAGACCAACGACUCACAUGACUGCAGGACGUUUGACAACAGUGUAGAAAAACCGUCUCUCAACUAAAACUGAAUCAGACAAUUUGGGAACACCAAAACAGCAAAGAUGGCUGGUCUCUGGUGGAUCACUGUGACGAUGGUCUUCUGUCUGUCUGCUGGAAGUUUGGCUGAAAUAGACCAAAAGCUGCUCGCGACACUCAUAUGUCAUCUAACGAAAACA